UCGGGCUGGUCACCCCAGCCUGAUCACCUCUACUCCGGUACCUGGUACGGCCGGAGAG
RNAcentral lists this non-coding RNA (58 nucleotides) under Nocardioides alkalitolerans DSM 16699. RNAcentral's name for it is "L17-Actino-Proteobacteria ribosomal protein leader". It matches the Rfam family "L17-Actino-Proteobacteria ribosomal protein leader". The record is from RNAcentral. Lineage: Bacteria; Bacillati; Actinomycetota; Actinomycetes; Propionibacteriales; Nocardioidaceae.